UGCGAGGUUAAGAUGAAGAGUCGGAGCCGUAGCGAAAGCGAGUCUGAAUAGGGCGAUAGUUAUUAUUAAUAGACCCGAAGCGGUAUGAGCUAGACAUGGGCAGGUUGAAGGCAUAGGAAACUAUGCUGGAGGACCGAACGGGUUGGUGCUGCAAAACCUUCCGAUGACCUGUGUUUAGGAGUGAAAAGCUCAUCGAAUACCGUGAUAGCUGGUUCUCUCCGAAAUGCAUUUAGGUGCAGCCUGUAUUUUAAGGUCUUGAAGAGGUAGAGCUCUGGAAAGGCUAGGGGGAUCGAGAGAUCUUACCAAACCUUACUAAACUUCGAAUGCUUCAAGGAAUAUUGCAGAGUGGGACUACGGGAGCAAGUUUCGUAGUCAAAAGGAUAACAGUCCAGACUUCUGAUUAAGGUCCCUAAAGUAAUGCUAAGUGGAAAAAGAGGUGUCUUUACUUAUACAUCCAGGAGGUUUGCCUAGAAGCAGCAAUCCUUUAAAGAAAGCGUAACAGCUCACUGGACUAGUGAAGAUGCGCUGAAGAUGUAACGGGGCUAAGCAUUAUACCGAAAUCGAAGACCAGUGUAGUAAUACACUGUGUGGUAGGAGAGUGUUCUUACAGGAUGAAGCUGCAUCGUGAGGUGUGGUCGACUAGUAAGAAGUAAAAAUGCUGACAUGAGUAACGCUUAUUGAUGAAAAUUCAAUAUAUCGAAACCCUAAGGAUUCCUACGCAACGUUCAUCGUCGUAGGGUUAGUCGGGGCCUAAGGCUUAUCCAGAAGUGGAGAGUCGAUGGAUAACUGGUUAAUAUUCCAGUACUUAUAUAAAGAGUGAUGGAGUGACGCAUUGAGAUUUGUGAGAGCUUAUUAAGGAUUUAAGUCGAAAGAACAAGGUUUUUAUAGUGUUAGCUAUAAAGGUAGUUGCAGGAAAAUCCACAGCUAUUGAUACUGAGCUUGAUCGGAAUUUGAUUCCUCGGAAUUAGAAAUUCUCAUCGUUUUGGUGCCGAGAAAAACCUCUAAACUUAAUCUAUAUGUAACCCGUACCCAGAUCAGACACUUGUGGGGUGGUAGAGAAUACUAAGAUAAUCGAGAUAACUAAUGGGUAAGGAACUUGGCAAAUUAGCGGACGUACUUUCGAAAUAAGUCCUGUCCCGAGCAAUCGGGAUCGCAGCGAAAGAGAUGGGGGGAACUGUUUAUCAAAAACACAGCUCGCUGCUAACUCGUAAGAGGAUGUAUAGCGGGUGAUGCCUGUCCAAUGCCAGAAUGUUAUGCUCUCUUGUGCAAGCUCGAGGGUUAAGCACUGGUGAAUGACGGCCGUAACUAUGACGGUCCUAAGGUAGCGAAAUUCCUUGUCAGGUAAGUUCUGACGCGCAUGAAUGGCAUAAUCAUCCCCAUGCUGUCUUACCCUUAGACUCGGUGAAAUUACAUUCCCGGUAAAAAUGCCGGGUAGUCACAGUUAGACGGAAAGACCCUGUGAAGCUUUACUGUAGAUUGAUAUUGGAUUGUAGCAUGUUUUGCUCAGUAUAGGUGGGAGGCUUUGAUGUUUCGACUUCGGUUGGGGCGGAGCCAAUAGUGAGAUACCACCCAAAAUAUGUAGCAAUACUAAUCCCUAGGUUGGGAGACAGUUUCAGUUGGACAGUUUACCUGGGGCGGGUGCCUCCUAAAAAGUAGCGGAGGCGUGCAAGGGUUUGCUUACUACGGAUGGAAACCGUGGUGAAUGUGUAUUCGCAUAAGCAAGCUUGACUGUGAGACUGACAGGUCGAACAGAUACGAAAGUAGGCGAAAGUGAUCCGGAUCUUCCGAGUGGAAGGGGAUCCGCUCAACGGAUAAAAGUUACUCCGGGGAUAACAGGCUAAUGGAAUCUAAGCGUUCACAGCGACGAUUCCGUUUGGCACCUCGAUGUCGACUCGUCGCAUCCUGGGGCUGUAGAAGGUCCCAAGGGUUGGGUUGUUCACCCAUUAAAGCGGUACGCGAGCUGGGUUCAGAACGUCGUGAGACAGUUCGGUCCC
Molecule: ribosomal RNA, 1994 nt
Filed under: human oral metagenome
Description: bacterial LSU rRNA
Rfam family: Bacterial large subunit ribosomal RNA
Source: RNAcentral